Molecule: ribosomal RNA, 468 nt
Filed under: uncultured bacterium
Lineage: Bacteria
Description: partial 16S ribosomal RNA
Rfam family: Bacterial small subunit ribosomal RNA
Source: RNAcentral
GACGAACGCUGGCGGCGUACUUAACACAUGCAAGUCGAACGGAAAGGCCCUGCUUUUGUGGGGUGCUCGAGUGGCGAACGGGUGAGUAACACGUGAGUAACCUGCCCUUGACUUUGGGAUAACUUCAGGAAACUGGGGCUAAUACCGGAUAGGAGCUCCUGCUGCAUGGUGGGGGUUGGAAAGUUUCGGCGGUUGGGGAUGGACUCGCGGCUUAUCAGCUUGUUGGUGGGGUAGUGGCUUACCAAGGCUUUGACGGGUAGCCGGCCUGAGAGGGUGACCGGCCACAUUGGGACUGAGAUACGGCCCAGACUCCUACGGGAGGCAGCAGUGGGGAAUAUUGCACAAUGGGCGGAAGCCUGAUGCAGCAACGCCGCGUGCGGGAUGACGGCCUUCGGGUUGUAAACCGCUUUCGCCUGUGACGAAGCGUGAGUGACGGUAAUGGGUAAAGAAGCACCGGCUAACUACGUG